AUGUGUGUAUAUGUAUGUGUAUAUGUGUGUGCAUAUGUGCACAUAUGUGUGUGUACACAUAUCAUAGCAUGUAUGUGAGGGUCAGAGGACAGCUUGCAGGAGUUGGUUCUUUCCUUCCACCAUGUGAAUUCUGGGGAUUGAACUCAGGUCAUCACGCUUGGCUGCAAGCAUCUUAACCCACUGAGCCGGUGACAGCUUUGAGUAGAGUAUUUGUGAUGGUUGAUGCUGACUGUCCACUUGACAGCAUCUGGCAUCGCCUAGGAGACAAGCCUCCAUCCGGGCAUGCCUGGGAAGGACUGUCUCCAUAGGUUUACCACGGUGGGAAGACAAACCUUCAGAGAGAGCAGUGUCGUUCCCUGGGCGGGGUCCCAGACCACAUAAAAAGGAGAAGGCGAGUUGGACCCCAGCAUCCGUCUCUCUCUGUUUCCUGACUGCAGGCGCAAUGUGACCACUGCCUCCAGCUCCUGCCUCGGUGACGUCCGUACCAUGAUGGGCUGCAACUAAGUCGGAAUAGACCCUCCACCCUUCAACUUCUUCUGUCCGGAAAUAUUUGCUGAAUGCCGAUGACAUACUGAGUGCCUUGAGAGUGCAGAGAGAACUGAAGGAAGACGCUCUGCCUCAGAGAACCUUCACUGGGACCCUGGUUGUUAAGUAAAAGUCAACAAGGCCCUGGCUGGCCUGAGGCAACAGGAAGAGAAGCGCAGGUGAAGACAGUUCUCUAUUGGCUGCUGUCUUUCGGUGUAUCCUCAUACCUACCCAGGGCACUGACCACACCUCCUUUUCUCCUAGAGGAGCCUGGUCUGGUUUGGGGUGAUGUCCCUCUCCUUCAGCACUGGUUGUUCUCCCUUCUGACAGGACCUGAGUGCUGCCUUGAAGGGGUUGGGGGUGGGGUGUGUGACAGCAGAGACUGAGAGAGCUUGGAGGAAGGGGAAGACUUAACGACUUGGAGGGUGGGGAGAGGUGGAGGGGCCUGAUUGUUCCGGCUCUGUGCAUACAGGGACGUGUCCUCUGAGCGCAUGUUACCUCAUGGAGCCCUGUGUCCUAGCUCUGGAGGUCAAGAAGAAGACAUGCUGGGAAGCUUCAGCAAGCAUGGGCUGACGUGGUCCAUCUGUCUUCAGCAUCAUGUUUCCCCUCCCCUGCCUCACCAGGAAGCAGACUCCCUACCACAGCCUUGGAAGUUCAGCUGAACCAAUGUUGUGAACCGGGGUCCGGACCACCAUUUAGAUAUUUGGGGGGGUCUCAUGCCUAGGGCUGCACCAUCUGUCUUUGCUCUGGGUGUUCAAGGAGACAACCAGAAUCCCAAUUUCAGCCUGGGAAAGGCCAGUUGCUCUUCAGACUGUUCCCAGCUUCCAUGCUACCAAGUCCUCCCAGCAGUCCCAAGGUUAGAUCACAAUGCCUCGUUGCAACUAGGGGACUAGUUGCCAGGGCACUGGGCUCUUUGUCUCCAGGUCCUGGAGUGCUCUGUCCCUUGUUCUCCCUCCCUCCCUCCAUGCAGAAUCCCAGUAUCCACAGGGCCUCCUGCAAUCCAGGGAAGCAUUGCAGCACAGAGCUGCAUCUCCAGCUCUUACUGCAUUUCAUUUUCAGUGCCUCACUCAGUUGCCUAGACUGACCUUGGACUUACUCUAUACCCUAGACUGGACUUGAACUUGCAAUCCUCCUGCCUCAACCUCUUCAGUCACUGAGCUGAUAGGCAGUGCCAUCAGACCUGUAUAAGACCUGGUAUCCUCAUGUCUGGGCCCAGGGCAAAGACUGUUCUGGAGAAUUUUGACUCCAAGUGCAGCCCCUUGACUGCCAUGGGUCUGACUGAAGGCCAUCUCAUCGUCACUUGGACUCAUCCAAGUCUGAGGUCAGACUCAGAAUUUCCAUUCUCUUCACCCCCACUUUCGUUUGGAAAUGGAGAGUGAUGACCUCCCGCCUCCAGUGUGGCCACUGGGUGAACUCAGGUUUGCCACAAAACCUGUCCCUGGCUCCCACUUAAAUGUUCUCCUCCCUCCCCUCCCAGCAGCUGCAAUCUCUUCCCUGAGUAGCGUCUUCUUUAUUUCCUCUCCAUGACUGCAGCUGAUCUCCCUGCAAAUAUACUUCACUGCUAUUAAAAGAAGCCCUAAACACUAAACACAUUGUAUAUCGUCUUUGAAGGCAAAUGGCCUCAGACUCCUGCAAGGAUAAAGCUUGCCAAUAGAGUGAUGGACCCCUGCAACAGCCAUUGCUGGGGAGACACCCUACACAGUCUCAGACCCCUUCUCUGGGGUGCAGGAGAGCCUGAAGAGAACAAGAAGGAGACAGAGGAGAUGAUGUCUGAUCCAGAGGGAGGCCCACCUCUGUCCUGCGACAUCCCAGGUGAUGCCCAGAGGAGAAAAGAGGAAAUGGAGGGCUGGCAGUCCUCACCAGGAUGCUACUUGGGGUUUCCUGUAGGCACUGAUCCCCCCAAGAGCCCUGGGGUUCCUCUCAAGACAGGGAGAAAAUAAGUCUUCAUGCACCCAAAGGCUCAGGGAAGAACCAGGACUGGGGGACAGUUCAGUGACUCACGCUGGAUUCUCAACACUCGGGAUGCUAGCCUGGACUAUAUAGUGAUUACCAGGCUAUCCUGAGCAACAUGUGAGACCCUGCUUCAACCUGCUCUCCCUGCCCCCCCCCCCAAAAUGGAAUGUUUGGGGUUAUAUAUUUACAAUUGCCUGUCCCCUUCCUAUGACCCUGCUUGGGGUAAGUUGUCACACUGGCUGACACAGCCACGAGCCCUACAGUGUGGAGGUUUGUCCAGAGCUCUGAGAGACCAGAGUGGGGAGAAACUGCCCAUGAAGGGCCUGGUAUGAUGGAGGGGGAAGCUCAGAGCUCAGACAGCUCCUGAUCUGAUGGGGGAACCCAGCACAUGGGCUGAGAAGGUGGUGGAGGCUCCCUGAGCUCCCAGUGGCUG
This is a long non-coding RNA of Peromyscus californicus insignis, 2911 nucleotides long. RefSeq lists it as uncharacterized. Lineage: Eukaryota; Metazoa; Chordata; Mammalia; Rodentia; Cricetidae. The transcript has 3 exons. The record is from RefSeq and is a predicted model, not a curated record.